CGCUUGUCAUGGUGGAACGCCGCGUUCGAGGACUCGUUAGAAACGACCAUGUUGAACGGCGAUUUGCGACACCAAGACGUGUACUCGUUGUCCUAUUCUGGUCAGCUAACCGGUGGUUGCGUGAAGUCGUACAAUAUGCCACCAGAAGUUUGCGCAAGGUGUCGUUAACUUCACUACUUCGAGUCACCGGUGUGUCGGAAUUUUCCCGCCAAGCUGACAGGCGAACAAGUUUUGUGGAUUUUGCUAUCAGGUAGCAAACAAAAGUGUCCUGACAAACUGUGCAAUGCUGACCACAUGGGGAGGGAAGCACCCCAUAAGAGGUGCUUAUUCAGCAUCUGUGGCUAACUCAAAGUAAGCACCUCACGAAAGCAGUGCCACAAGGAUGUGAGCCGCAAGUUCUUUCAACAAACGGAUCAGAUGCCUGAGAGCCACAAGCCAGCUGCUUUUGGCCUACACAGACAGUGCAGCCAUCGCAGUAAACUUAUUGCAAAAGCGGACGGAAGGCAGUACAGAUAGACACACAGAAGCCAUCGGGCUGCCUCACAAACUGUGACUGAGAAUUCACCUACAUACAGAAAGGAGCCAAGUGUAGCUGUUCAUAGGCUAUGCACACAGUUUCAUAAGCGGGCUUUCCGCACUUUUUACAAUUAUGUUUCUGAAUACAUCUGCCAAAGUUGUAUUCAAA
This is a long non-coding RNA of Rhipicephalus microplus (southern cattle tick), 685 nucleotides long. RefSeq lists it as uncharacterized. Lineage: Eukaryota; Metazoa; Arthropoda; Arachnida; Ixodida; Ixodidae. The record is from RefSeq and is a predicted model, not a curated record.